CUAACAAGGAUUCCCCCAGUAACGGCGAGUGAAGCGGGAACAGCUCAAAUUUGAAAUCUCCGACGCUUGCGUCGGCGAGUUGUAGUUGCGAGAAGCACUUUCUCGGCGGAUCGGGCGCGCCUAAGUUGCUUGGAACAGCACGUCGCAGAGGGUGACAACCCCGUCUGUGGCGCGGCCGUCCGCUCACGAUGUGCUUUCGAAGAGUCGGGUUGUUUGGGAAUGCAGCCCAAAAGGGGUGGUAAACUCCAUCUAAAGCUAAAUACUGGCGUGAGACCGAUAGCGAAGGAAACGAAUGGACUCAGCAAUGCGCCCUUUGAGAUUCAGCCGGCCGGCGGGGACGGCCCGGGGUUUGCGGAUCCGGAUGGACCGCGGUCUCGGGUUCGACUUUCCCGGCCGUCGCACUUCUCUUGGGCGCGCGUCAACGUCGGUUGGGACUGGGUCUGAAAGGGGCCGGUAAGGUAGGUCCGUGCGUCCUCUCGGGGGCGUUCGUUCCGCUACAGGCCGGUCCCCUUGGCUCGGGUCCGACCGAGGCUGUCGCGGCGCACGCCUCUUGUGGCUAGGGUCCCGUCGCUCCGGCCGGUCGUCGACCGCGGUGGACUGCUUGCAGUNUCCGCGACUGCUGCCGGUCGUUGGGGCGGUGAUCU
RNAcentral lists this ribosomal RNA (644 nucleotides) under Guynia annulata. Its description in RNAcentral is "eukaryotic LSU rRNA". The stretch from base 1 to 281 matches the Rfam family "Eukaryotic large subunit ribosomal RNA", at positions 65 to 358 of the family's 3401-position model. Lineage: Eukaryota; Metazoa; Cnidaria; Anthozoa; Scleractinia; Guyniidae. The record is from RNAcentral.